GGCGGCCGGGCAGCACUUUCCUUUCCUCAGCCAAUUGUAUCUCCCAUCCGUAUCGGAGGAUCGCGGGGUGUGAGGCGCGGGAGAGCCCGCGGCCGGUGCGGAGGGCGCCGGCGGGCAGCGGCCCCCAGCCCCGGCACGGCGGCAGAGGAGGAAGAGGGGCGAGGCGGAGGCCCGGGGCGGGCAGACCCCGGGGUCGGGCCGCGCUGGCCGGCCCAGCCCCUUAAAUGCAACCCCUGAGGCGGCGGCUUCUGUCUGAUGAGACCGCCCCAGGGCUGCCGGCGGCGGGGCGUCGUCUUGGGGACCGUCACCCUCUGCCUGGCCGCCGGGUGGGCUCUGCAGACUCCCGGAGGAGUAUCAUUAGUUGUCCCACAACCCAACAUCAAUGCAACGGUGGCACAAAACAUCCUCCUCUCGGUUGAAUACUCUUGCAGAGGCGUCGCCACGGUUGAGUGGAAGCACGUGUCGAGCUGGGGCACCACCAAAAUUGUUGAGUGGAGAAGUGGGAAUGAUGUCAACAUAUCCACGGUGUACAAGGACAGAGUGACUACCUUUGAAAAUGGCUCCAUCCAGCUGCUGAACGUGGGCAUGAGAGAUGCUGGCUACUACUUCGUCACUGUAACGGAGGAGUACGGAACCAACACCUACGGCACCAUCGUAGUCAACAUCUCCGAGAUUAUCUAUGAAGAUUUACAUUUUGUAGCAGUUCUCUUUGCAUUUCUUGCUGGAGUGUCGGCCAUUUUGAUCUGCUUCAUGUGGCUGUGUAAUAAAUCUCUGCAUCUGUUCCAGAAGACAACGACACCCAAACUAACAGCAAGUACAACUGAAGAGAUUGAAUUGGAAACCAUUGAGUGUUAGCCAAGGACUGUCUCAUAACAAAAAAAUAACAACUCUACCUCAGGAGAAACUAUGGGCACAGAAAGCAAGAAGAAACCUAAAAGUCCUCAGAAACCCUUCCUGAUCAUCAUCACCUUCCAGAGACAAUCAGGAGUGACCUUACAAUGACAUCAAUCAGCCUCCUCAGCAUUCAUGGAUACAUCCCAUGACCGUGUUCAAAGGGUCUUUAACUCAAUCCUCUGCUAUCCAGGUGUCUGAGAAACAGAAGAACAUGUAUGAGUCUACCUGAGAUAAAAGAAAAUCCUGUAGUUCUUGCUCUUGAUGGGACAACGUAAUAACUCUUCCAUCUCUGUGCACAACUCUGAUCUGCUCAACUCCAAUGUUCAGCUGCAGUUGAAUGGAUCUUUUAAGACAAGAUGCAUAUUGAAUCAAAAUGCAUUACAACAGUGAUGAAAAUGAGACUCAGAAAACAAGAAACUAAGAACACAAGAUCCCUCCCAUUUGUUGACAAGAGCCUUAAGAUGAGGAUGGUGCAAACCCUACAGAACACAACAGCAACUCCAAACACUUCAGUUUCACCACUCACCACAACAGCUCCCGGCCUGACACUGUGCCCUGCCCAGAGGCAGGGUGUGUGUUCUCAGGACCUGCUCUGUCCUACAGCCAAGAUUUGGGCAGCACCUGUACCCUGGAGUGUGACUGCGCGUUGCCCCCGUGACCACAGUGUGCGUCAUGCUGUGGGCACAGCCAGAGCACUGCUUGAAGUGGUCAUCCACUGUCAAGGCUUCACUUAAUUCACUGUGCUGAGCACACAGACGUUUCUGGAAUGAAAUCUCUUAUUUCAAUGACAACUAAUGGCAUGAAUGACAAGGCCCACAUUUCAGUACCUAUGCAGCAAAGCUAGUGCUGAGCACUGACCAGCCUAUAGUUUAGAAUCCAGCACAAAGAUACUUCUAUUCAGUGAUCUCUGUCCAAAGUGAAUCCCUUCUUAAACAGACACUUUCAAUUCCUUCUUUGAAGGGAAACUGUGCUAGACUUACUAGGUUUCUCCAUUGAAGUAUAACAUGGAUGAAGAGUUUUCUUAGGGUGGCUGUUCUCCCUCCCCAACUCAGAAAAACAAACACACACACACAAAUAACAGGCUCCUACUUCUCUUCCUGAAGAGAAUAUAACACACAACUGAAUAUACUGUAUUCAGUGUAAACCUGUAAAACACAACCUGAAUACACUCUGCCAUUGCUGAAUGUUUCUACAACUAGAAGGGCAUGUGGAUUUUCAUACUUACUUGCAUAUCUGUUCAUAUCCUUGAGAUGUUAUUAGAACUUUAACACUGGAUUCAUAAACAUCAUUUAUAUUGGACCAGUGGGCCUGAAUCUGAGGAUCCUCAAUACGACUGGCCAGACUGUCAAUGGUUCGAGCAGUCCUACAAGACAAAGACACAUUCUGUGCACAAUAAUGUAAAGUUUUGGGCUGUGAUCUCCUUUAAAGGAAAUGAGCAGGUUUAGUUGGGAUUUUGGGGAUCUUUUUGUGUCACACCAGAAAAUAAAAGGCAAAUUUAACAGAACCAUGUGGAUCAAAGUUCUAUUUCAGUAUCAUUCUGGCACUAAUGUUUACUCCAUACAUUUCACAUGGAUUCUACAGCAGAAUUCAAACGGUAUUGCCCAGUACCAGCUAUUGCACAGCAAAAGAUACUAAAAACUAUUGAGGCAGUUUAAGAAAAGUGGGGACAAUUAUCAGCAGCUACAUCAAAACUGUUACAUAGAUCUUGAAAUCUGAAGGGGUUUUUCUUACUAGCUGCAUGUUGCCUGCUCAAUUUCAUGAUAUCAGUAAAUACUUAAAGACUAUUUUAACAGUGAAGGAAGAAGCAGCUGGUUUUAAGAACAGUGAAAAAAGAUCAAUGGUAUUCUAUAUAAUGGAACAUGUUAUUGUCCCUUUAACAAGAACAGCUUGUGACCUACCUGCGUCUCAGAAAGAUAUGCUUUGCCUGCUUUAUUAUCUUUUCCAGAAGUCCCUCAUUGGACUGUAAAGAACUGAUAUCAUUUUUAUCAAAAGCCUGAGGUCCUGCAAGUCUCAUUCUCUUAUGGCCAAAAGGUGCACUAGCUGGAUGGGGCAUCACUGUUGAGCUCAGGGUUUGUUUGUGACACUGCAACAAACAGAUGUUACAAAGAGAUCAAAGUAUCUGUAAGAAAUAACGUGUAAACUACAAUCUGCCACUCAGUUCACAACAGGUUUUUUGAAGUGUACACACUUUCAAAAAGCACAACUUUUUUACUCUAUAAACUUGACAGCACUUUAAAGCCAGCUUCACAUUCAUACUUUGCCUCCCGUGUUUAUGCAGGUCUUUCAAACCUUAGCGCUGGCUAACAAAAAUGUGGUGGCAUAGCAACAGCUCCUACUAAUAAAUCUGCCUGUGGAUACACAGACCUCUGGAGGCAGACAGAACAGUCAAACAAAAAUAAAGAAAGCAUUUAUGAGAUAUGAAGUUGAGCUCCAAAAAAGAUUUAGCAUCAUGUUCAAGGUCAAGACAAGAAAUUGACAUCUGAGCUGGGCACCGAGCCAAAGCUUCAUGUUGAAUAACAGCGGACGUGACUGCAUGACUUGCAGACCCACGCUCUAUGGAGAUGAACACUCUCUGGAACAUGGUUUCACAACUGCUUAGACAUGUAAAAUUGUGCUUCUUUCCUGAACAGACACAGCCUCAAACUUCCAUCCCUGGUCCUUCUGCUAGGCUACAUGAGAAUCUAAACACUGAAGCAGAGAAGUGGGCUCCAAAGAAGCAGAGUUAUUACUGUAAUUUAUUGUUCUUCCUUCAUGAGAGCACAUUCUGAACAGAUGCUCACUUGAGGUACUGGACAAGCACUAAGUAGACACAAAGGAGAAAGGGAGGCUGAUGGGAUGUACAGGAAGAACCUUGCACACCUCUUCUGAAGUGAGCAGCUGGGCGUGAGGUUAAGUAAAGAAUUCGUGUCCCACGGAACUAGCACUCCUGGCGCACCUGCACACAACAAAACCGAACGGUCUGUUGCAUGACAGAUAGAGACUGGCCUCUAGUGGCCCUCUGUAGUUACAACAGGGCUGCACGAUAAAGAAGAUUUAAUGGAGGCCCAAAAAUUCUUCAGUACUUGACCAUAAUUGCAUUACCUCUCUGAUAAGCUGAUGCAAAUUAUGUUCCAGAACAUAGAGAUGAUCCUCUGGAUUCUGUUUUUCAGAAGCAGACUUCUGUGAUUUUUUGUCGUUGGAAGAGUGACAGAGGGAAAUAGACAACUGCAAACCUGUACACAGCAGAUGAAAAAAAACCAUUAAAAUGAGGAUCAUUAUACUUUUGAAGAAGGCUACUGAGAACUGCUUUUCUUCAUGUUUCACAGUCAGUUUUACAAUCAGUACUCACCAUAUGAGAGAAAAAUCCAAGACUGAUAUUGGAAAGCACAGCAUCAAAG
RNA transcript from Colius striatus (speckled mousebird), 4271 nucleotides. It is a transcript of the gene named V-set and transmembrane domain containing 5, with no coding region annotated. The record is from RefSeq and is a predicted model, not a curated record. The transcript has 6 exons. Lineage: Eukaryota; Metazoa; Chordata; Aves; Coliiformes; Coliidae.